This 333-nucleotide ribosomal RNA is filed under the name uncultured bacterium. RNAcentral's name for it is "bacterial SSU rRNA". It matches the Rfam family "Bacterial small subunit ribosomal RNA", at positions 568 to 898 of the family's 1533-position model. The record is from RNAcentral.
UGUGUAGGCGGUGUCUCUAAGUCUGUUGUGAAACUCUCCCGGCUUAACUGGGAGGGUGCGGCGGAAACUGGAGUGCUAGAGGGUGGGAGAGGUAAGCGGAAUUCCUGGUGUAGCGGUGAAAUGCGUAGAUAUCAGGAGGAACACCUGUGGUGUAGGCAGCUUACUGGACCACUUCUGACGCUGAGACACGAAAGCGUGGGUAGCAAACAGGAUUAGAUACCCUGGUAGUCCACGCCCUAAACGAUGCACACUUGGUGUGAGCGAUUCAUUUCGUUCGUGCCGGAGCUAACGCGUUAAGUAUGCCGCCUGGGGAGUACGGUCGCAAGGACUGAA